AGAGUUUGAUCAUGGCUCAGGAUGGACGCUAGCGGCAGGCCUAAUACAUGCAAGACGAACGGUAAGUUGAGUAGCAAUACUUAGCCAAGAGUGUCGUACGGGUGCGUAACACGUAUGCAACCUACCCUAUACAGGAGGAUAGCCUAGGGAAACCUGGAUUAACCCUUCAUAGUAUUAUUGGAUGGCAUCAUUUGAUAAUUAAAACUGAGGUGGUAUAGGAUGGGCAUGCGUCUGAUUAGUUAGUUGGCGGGGUAAUGGCCCACCAAGACGAUGAUCAGUAGGGGUUCUGAGAGGAAGAUCCCCCACACUGGCACUGAGAUACGGGCCAGACUCCUACGGGAGGCAGCAGUAGGGAAUAUUGGUCAAUGGAUGCAAGUCUGAACCAGCCAUGCCGCGUGCAGGAAGAAGGCCUUCUGGGUUGUAAACUGCUUUUGCCAGGGGAUAAAAUUUCCAUGCGUGGAAAACUGAAGGUACCUGGUGAAUAAGCCACGGCUAACUACGUG
RNAcentral lists this ribosomal RNA (503 nucleotides) under uncultured bacterium. Its description in RNAcentral is "bacterial SSU rRNA". It matches the Rfam family "Bacterial small subunit ribosomal RNA", at positions 8 to 507 of the family's 1533-position model. The record is from RNAcentral.